Molecule: ribosomal RNA, 253 nt
Filed under: uncultured bacterium
Lineage: Bacteria
Description: partial 16S ribosomal RNA
Rfam family: Bacterial small subunit ribosomal RNA
Source: RNAcentral
UACGGGGGGGGCAAGCGUUGUUCGGAAUUACUGGGCGUAAAGGGCUCGUAGGUGGCCAACUAAGUCAGACGUGAAAUCCCUCGGCUUAACCGGGGAACUGCGUCUGAUACUGGACGGCUUGAGUUUGGGAGAGGGAAGCGGAAUUCCAGGUGUAGCGGUGAAAUGCGUAGAUAUCUGGAGGAACACCAGUUGCGAAGGCGGCUCACUGGACCGUUGUUGACGCUGAGGUGCGAAAGCGUGGGGAGCAAACAGG